This is a long non-coding RNA of Lemur catta (Ring-tailed lemur), 312 nucleotides long. RefSeq lists it as uncharacterized. The transcript is spliced from 3 exons. The record is from RefSeq and is a predicted model, not a curated record. Lineage: Eukaryota; Metazoa; Chordata; Mammalia; Primates; Lemuridae.
GUUUUUACCCCAUUUCAGAGGGCUCUGGAUCACCUGUGAUCCCCCUGGGGGUUCCUCUAGGACCAAGAAACCUCAUAAAUGUUACCGAAGAAAAGAAAACCCCUACUGUGCAUGCAUACUCACAUCAACACCCCGCUGCGCUCACACAUGCUGUGUAAACACACACACACUCACCUUCAGGCUGUCCUUCCCAGCCUUAGAGGGAGUCGCGUCUGAGUAGAGCUGUCAGGCCUCUGUGAAGUCUCCUUGACCCAAGUCCCUCUGUGAGCAAGAAAGGCAGAGUCCUCAGAUCCAUCAGCUCCUACCUCUGCC